This 346-nucleotide ribosomal RNA is filed under the name uncultured bacterium. RNAcentral's name for it is "partial 16S ribosomal RNA". It matches the Rfam family "Bacterial small subunit ribosomal RNA", at positions 338 to 681 of the family's 1533-position model. The record is from RNAcentral.
CCUACGGGUGGCAGCAGUGAGGAAUAUUGGUCAAUGGGCGCGAGCCGGAACCAGCCAAGUAGCGUGAAGGAUGACUGCCCUACGGGGUGUAAACUUCUGUUAUAAAGGAAUAAAGUGAGGCACGUGUGCCUUUUUGUAUGUACUUUAUGAAUAAGGAUCGGCUAACUCCGUGCCAGCAGCCGCGGUAAUACGGAGGAUCCGCGCGUUUUCCGGAUUGAUUGGGUUUAAAGGGAGCGUAGAUGGGUUGUUAAGUCAGUUGUGAAAGUUGGCGGCUCAACCGUAAAAUUGCAAUUUAUACUGGCAGUCUUGCGUACAGUUGUGGUCGGCGGACUUCGUGGUGUAGCGG